GACGAACGCUGGCGGCGUGCUUAACACAUGCAAGUCGAACGGAAAGACCCUGCGUUUGUGGGGUGCUCGAGUGGCGAACGGGUGAGUAACACGUGAGUAACCUGCCCUUGACUUUGGGAUAACUUCAGGAAACUGGGGCGAAUACCGGAGAGGAGCUCCUGCUGCAUGGUGGGGGUUGGUAAGUUUCGGCGGUUGGGGAUGGACUAGCGGGUUAUCAGCUUGUUUGUGGGGUAGUGGCGUACCAAGGCUUUGACGGGUAGCCGGCCUGAGAGGGUGACCGGCGACAUUGGGACUGCGAUACGCAGCAGAAUCGUAUGGGCCGCAGGAGUGGGGAGUCUUGCACAAUGGGCGGGAGCCAGUUGCAGCAAUGCCGCGUGCGUGAUGAUCGGCUUCUGGUUAAAAACCACUGUCUCCUGUAACAUAGCCUGAGUGACGGUAAUGGGUCAAGAAGCCCCGGCUAACUACGUG
This 468-nucleotide ribosomal RNA is filed under the name uncultured bacterium. RNAcentral describes it as "partial 16S ribosomal RNA". It matches the Rfam family "Bacterial small subunit ribosomal RNA", at positions 28 to 507 of the family's 1533-position model. The record is from RNAcentral.